RNAcentral lists this unclassified non-coding RNA (244 nucleotides) under Hevea brasiliensis (rubber tree). The record is from RNAcentral. Lineage: Eukaryota; Viridiplantae; Streptophyta; Magnoliopsida; Malpighiales; Euphorbiaceae.
CUCUCUCUCUCUCUCUCUGCUUCAAACUAGGAAGCCUAAAACAGUGUUAUCAAAAGCGAGGAAAGCGCCCAGGCCAGGCGAGACGCCCCUCUGUCUCCUCGACUGGAACGCCUAGCUGGGCUUUGGAGAGGCAACACCUCAGGCCGGCGAGGCGAGAGGCAACGCCUCAUUAAAGCAAACGGUAAUUUUUUUUUUAAUGAAAAAACUAAUAAACCUACCGCUUACCUGAUGCCAACAAAAGAGC